This 490-nucleotide ribosomal RNA is filed under the name uncultured bacterium. Its description in RNAcentral is "partial 16S ribosomal RNA". It matches the Rfam family "Bacterial small subunit ribosomal RNA", at positions 28 to 507 of the family's 1533-position model. The record is from RNAcentral.
GAUGAACGCUAGCUACAGGCUUAACACAUGCAAGUCGCAGGGUAACAUGAGGAAAGCUUGCUUUCCUUGAUGACGACUGGCGCACGGGUGAGUAACGCGUAUCCAACCUUCUCAUAACUACGGGCUAACCCGUUGAAAGACGGCCUAAUACCGUAUGAUAUCGUUUGCUGACAUCAAAUAACGAUUAAAGGUUUAGCGGAUAUGGAUGGGGAUGCGUCUGAUUUGCUGGAUGGCGGGGUAACAGCACAUCAAGGCGCCGCACAGGAGGGGCUCCGAGAGGGAGGUCCCCCGCAUUGGAGCUGAGACACGGACCAAACUCCUACGGGAGGCAGCAGUGAGGAAUAUUGGUCAAUGGGCGAGAGCCUGAACCAGCCAAGUAGCGGGCAGGACGACGGCCCUAUGGGUUGUAAACUGCUUUUAUGUGGGGUAAAAGUGCGUGACGGGUCAUACAUUGCAGGUACCAAAUGAGUAAGGACCGGCUAAUUCCGUG